GAUGAAGAACGUAGCGAAAUGCGAUAAGUAAUGUGAAUUGCAGAAUUCAGUGAAUCAUCGAAUCUUUGAACGCACAUUGCGCCCGCCAGUAUUCUGGCGGGCAUGCCUGUUCGAGCGUCAUUACAACCCUCAGGCCCCCGGGCCUGGCGUUGGGGAUCGGCGGAAGCCCCCUGCGGGCACAACGCCGUCCCCCAAAUACAGUGGCGGUCCCGCCGCAGCUUCCAUUGCGUAGUAGCUAACACCUCGCAACUGGAGAGCGGCGCGGCCACGCCGUAAAACACCCAACUUCUGAAUGUUGACCUCGAAUCAGGUAGGAAUACCCGCUGAACUUAAGCAUAUCAAAAGCGGAGA
Molecule: unclassified non-coding RNA, 351 nt
Filed under: soil metagenome
Description: partial contains 5.8S ribosomal RNA, internal transcribed spacer 2, and large subunit ribosomal RNA
Rfam family: 5.8S ribosomal RNA (bases 1-120)
Source: RNAcentral